This 468-nucleotide ribosomal RNA is filed under the name uncultured bacterium. RNAcentral's name for it is "partial 16S ribosomal RNA". It matches the Rfam family "Bacterial small subunit ribosomal RNA", at positions 28 to 507 of the family's 1533-position model. The record is from RNAcentral.
GACGAACGCUGGCGGCGUGCUUAACACAUGCAAGUCGAACGGAAAGGCCCUGCUUUUGUGGGGUGCUCGAGUGGCGAACGGGUGAGUAACACGUGAGUAACCUGCCCUUGACUUUGGGAUAACUUCAGGAAACUGGGGCUGAUACCGGAUAGGAGCUCCUGCUGCAUGGUGGGGGUUGGAAAGUUUCGGCGGUUGGGGAUGGACUCGCGGCUUAUCAGCUUGUUGGUGGGGUAGUGGCUUACCAAGGCUUUGACGGGUAGCCGGCCUGAGAGGGUGACCGGCCACAUUGGGACUGAGAUACGGCUCAGACUCCUACGGGAGGCAGCAGUGGGGAAUAUUGCACAAUGGGCGGAAGCCUGAUGCAGCAACGCCGCGUGCGGGAUGACGGCCUUCGGGUUGUAAACCGCUUUCGCCUGUGACGAAGCGUGAGUGACGGUAAUGGGUAAAGAAGCACCGGCUAACUACGUG